RNAcentral lists this ribosomal RNA (316 nucleotides) under Pseudococcus calceolariae (citrophilus mealybug). Its description in RNAcentral is "partial 28S ribosomal RNA". The record is from RNAcentral. Lineage: Eukaryota; Metazoa; Arthropoda; Insecta; Hemiptera; Pseudococcidae.
AAACCNUUCGGGGGUAAACGGACANAGCCCGUGAAUCCGGGCGACGGAAUUCAGAAUCGACGGCGUUCACGCGUCGUCGGUUCGAUAUUUCCGCCGCCGCCAUUUUAACGGACGUCGCGACCCGUUCGGUGUCGGUCUGCAGGAGACGUGCGAAAGUUCGUGGGCGUCGGUUGGGUUUCGGCUCGAUCGGCGUUCGCGAGUGCGCGUUUUUUUUCUGGCCGACUCGCCGGACGGUAAGCGAAGCGGUGGUCGCGGCGGCCUUUAGUUAGCGCCGUCGCGUUACCGGUCUGCGACGAAUCUUCGGGCCUCUUUCCGA